GACGAACGCUGGCGGCGUGCUUAACACAUGCAAGUCGAACAGAAAGGCCUCUGCUUGCAGGGGUGCUCGAGUGGCGAACGGGUGAGUAACACGUGGGUGAUCUGCCUUGUACUCUGGGAUAAGCUUGGGAAACUGGGUCUAAUACCGGAUAGGAACUGCCUUUAGUGUGGUGGUUGGAAAGUUUUUUCGGUGCAAGAUGAGCUCGCGGCCUAUCAGCUUGUUGGUGGGGUAAUGGCCUACCAAGGCGUCGACGGGUAGCCGGCCUGAGAGGGUGUACGGCCACAUUGGGACUGAGAUACGGCCCAGACUCCUACGGGAGGCAGCAGUGGGGAAUAUUGCACAAUGGGCGGAAGCCUGAUGCAGCGACGCCGCGUGGGGGAUGACGGCCUUCGGGUUGUAAACUCCUUUCGACAGGGACGAAGCUUUUUGUGACGGUACCUGUAUAAGAAGCACCGGCCAACUACGUGCCAGCAGCCGCGGUAAUACGUAGGGUGCGAGCGUUGUCCGGAAUUACUGGGCGUAAAGAGCUCGUAGGUGGUUUGUCGCGUCGUCUGUGAAAUUCCGGGGCUUAACUCCGGGCGUGCAGGGCGAUACGGGCAUAACUUGAGUGCUGUAGGGGAGACUGGAAUUCCUGGUGUAGCGGUGAAAUGCGCAGAUAUCAGGAGGAACACCGAUGGCGAAGGCAGGUCUCUGGGCAGUUACUGACGCUGAGGAGCGAAAGCAUGGGUAGCGAACAGGAUUAGAUACCCUGGUAGUCCAUGCCGUAAACGGUGGGCGCUAGGUGUAGGGGGCUUCCACGUCUUCUGUGCCGUAGCUAACGCAUUAAGCGCCCCGCCUGGGGAGUACGGCCGCAAGGCUAAAACUCAAAGGAAUUGACGGGGGCCCGCACAAGCGGCGGAGCAUGUGGAUUAAUUCGAUGCAACGCGAAGAACCUUACCUGGGCUCGACAUACACCAGAUCGCUGCAGAGAUGUAGUUUCCCUUGUGGUUGGUGUACAGGUGGUGCAUGGUUGUCGUCAGCUCGUGUCGUGAGAUGUUGGGUUAAGUCCCGCAACGAGCGCAACCCUUGUCUUAUGUUGCCAGCAUUUGGUUGGGGACUCAUGAGAGACUGCCGGGGUUAACUCGGAGGAAGGUGGGGAUGACGUCAAAUCAUCAUGCCCCCUAUGUCCAGGGCUUCACACAUGCUACAAUGGUCGGUACAACGCGCGGCGACACUGUGAGGUGGAGCGAAUCGCUGAAAGCCGGUCUUAGUUCGGAUUGGGGUCUGCAACUCGACCCCAUGAAGUCGGAGUCGCUAGUAAUCGUAGAUCAGCAAUGCUGCGGUGAAUACGUUCCCGGGCCU
This 1341-nucleotide ribosomal RNA is filed under the name uncultured bacterium. RNAcentral's name for it is "bacterial SSU rRNA". It matches the Rfam family "Bacterial small subunit ribosomal RNA", at positions 28 to 1381 of the family's 1533-position model. The record is from RNAcentral.